UAAAGAGUCCUUUGGUAAUGUAAACAACCACCCUCUGACUUUGUUUGUUUUGAAUACUCCUAGUUUCACUUUCCUAUUUGCUUAAAGCACUGUAUAUCUGUAUAAACCCACCAGAGGAGAAACUGAUGUCCCCAAGGUUCUUCUUAAAAAGAGCCAGAACCCAAGCAUUAUGAUGCAAAUGCUUUCUGGAAGAUGCAACUGCUUGCAAGAUGAUUCUUCAAAUGGUAAAUCUAGGACAAAGCAGCCUGAUGCCAUUUCACACGUGUGGUCACAGCUCGUUGCUGGAGGAAUUCAGCGCGUCCUGCGUGACUCCACAGGGAGAGGACUCCAGAGACUUGUGCCUGUUUCUCCUAACUUUGCCCCGCACACCUUUUCCCUUUGCUGAUUUGGCACUGUAUCCUCUCAUAUAAUAAAUCUUAGUCGCAAGCACAA
This is a long non-coding RNA of Balaenoptera musculus (blue whale), 432 nucleotides long. RefSeq lists it as uncharacterized. The record is from RefSeq and is a predicted model, not a curated record. NCBI's taxonomy places the organism in Eukaryota, Metazoa, Chordata, Mammalia, Artiodactyla, Balaenopteridae. The transcript has 3 exons.